GGUGACAGCAGCCGCGCACAUUCUGCCCUGCGGGCACUGUGGGCUCUGCACCGCAUGAUCCACCCUGCUGUUGGAGAGCAGUGGAGGGUCAAGAUUCCCAUCCUGCUCUCGACUAUUGAAGCUUCAGGAAAUCCUGAGACCUCCCAGGACAAUGUGUGGUGGGAGCACCUGCUGCUGAAGUUCCUGAACAUGACACUGAAGAGCAU
Molecule: long non-coding RNA, 206 nt
Organism: Alligator mississippiensis (American alligator)
Lineage: Eukaryota; Metazoa; Chordata; Crocodylia; Alligatoridae
Exons: 3
Source: RefSeq, a predicted model, not a curated record